Solanum tuberosum (potato) is the source of this 173-nucleotide long non-coding RNA. RefSeq lists it as uncharacterized. Lineage: Eukaryota; Viridiplantae; Streptophyta; Magnoliopsida; Solanales; Solanaceae. The record is from RefSeq and is a predicted model, not a curated record. The transcript is spliced from 2 exons.
UGAAACUGUUGUUGGGACUCACACAGGCGGCUCUAUUUCAAUUGGAGAACAUCGCAGGAAACUUGCUAUUGAAAAAGGUCGAGAUCCAACACCAAUUGAAUUACAUUUGCAUGUUCAUACACAUGGUCAUGAUGGAAAAUCAUUUGUUGGUGAGCGUUCUCGAAUUGUCCAUG